GGUGGUAUAGUUAAGACGGUCAUAACACUCGGCUGAUAACCGAACAUCGCAGGUUCGAUUCCUGCUACCACUACCA
RNAcentral lists this transfer RNA (76 nucleotides) under Enterobacteria phage CHB7. RNAcentral describes it as "tRNA-Ile". It matches the Rfam family "tRNA". From Rfam's summary of the family: Transfer RNA (tRNA) molecules are approximately 80 nucleotides in length. Their secondary structure includes four short double-helical elements and three loops (D, anti-codon, and T loops). The record is from RNAcentral. Lineage: Duplodnaviria; Heunggongvirae; Uroviricota; Caudoviricetes; Andersonviridae.